RNAcentral lists this ribosomal RNA (585 nucleotides) under uncultured bacterium. Its description in RNAcentral is "partial 16S ribosomal RNA". It matches the Rfam family "Bacterial small subunit ribosomal RNA", at positions 355 to 1375 of the family's 1533-position model. The record is from RNAcentral.
UGGGGAAUUUUGGACAAUGGGCGAAAGCCUGAUCCAGCAAUGCCGCGUGUGUGAAGAAGGCCUUCGGGUUGUAAAGCACUUUUGUCCGGAAAGAAAUCCUUGGCUCUAAUACAGUCGGGGGAUGACGGUACCGGAAGAAUAAGCACCGGCUAACUACGUGCCAGCAGCCGCGGUAAUACGUAGGUGCAAGCGUUAAUCGGAAUUACUGGGCGUAAAGCGUGCGCAGGCGGUUUGCUAAGACCGAUGUGAAAUCCCCGGGCUCAACCUGGGAAUUGCAUUGGUGACUGGCAGGCUAGAGUAUGGCAGAGGGGGGUAGAAUUCCACGUGUAGCAGUGAAAUGCGUAGAGAUGUGGAGGAAUACCGAUGGCGAAGGCAGCCCCCUGGGCCAAUACUGACGCUCAUGCACGAAAGCGUGGGGAGCAAACAGGAUUAGAUACCCUGGUAGUCCACGCCCUAAAACGAUGUCAACUAGUUGUUGGGGAUUCAUUUCCUUAGUAACGUAGCUAACGCGUGAAGUUGACCGCCUGGGGAGUACGGUCGCAAGAUUAAAACUUAAAGGAAUUGACGGGGUCAUAGCUGUUUCCU